This 2176-nucleotide ribosomal RNA is filed under the name Cordyceps farinosa. RNAcentral's name for it is "eukaryotic LSU rRNA". The stretch from base 1 to 431 matches the Rfam family "Eukaryotic large subunit ribosomal RNA", at positions 2959 to 3401 of the family's 3401-position model. The record is from RNAcentral. Lineage: Eukaryota; Fungi; Ascomycota; Sordariomycetes; Hypocreales; Cordycipitaceae.
GGGUUUAGACCGUCGUGAGACAGGUUAGUUUUACACUACUGAUGACCUCACCGCAAUGGUAAUUCAGCUUAGUACGAAAGGAACCGCUGAUUCAAAUAAUUGGUUUUUGCGGCUGUCCGACCGGGCAGUGCCGCGACGCUACCAUCUGCUGGAUAAUGGCUGAACGCCUCUAAUUCAGAAUCCAUGCCAGAACGCGGUGAUACCACCCGCACGUACAGAUGGACAAGAAUAGGCUUCGGCUUUGUGUCUCAGCAGGCGAUUCGUCCACGGCCACGGAAGAGUGGUCUUGGUAUUUCGCGUAUUGUAAUUUCAACACGAGCGGGGUCAAAUCCUUUGCAGACGACUUAUCUGUGCGAAACGGUCCUGUAAACAGUAGAGUACCCUUGUUGUUACGAUCUGCUGAGGGUAAGCCGUCCUUCGCCUCGAUUUCCCCAGUGAGGGCGCCGUCUUGACGGGCUCUGGUUGGGGACGCGCUAAAUUUACGUGCGCAACAUGUGGGAAACUGGCUGACAGCGACUUUUUAGACCGUGAGGUACAGGGUAGGCUGGUUUACUUGGUCGUUUUCGCGAGUUUGGGCUGUCAGGUAUAGGGUAAGUGCUUACCCUGUACCUCAGAACAAAAACGGCCACCACGGACUCAAUUCUGCGUUUCCAGGCGAGAGGCUUUGCACACAGGACAGACAGAGGACGGGCUACCUGCUGGCAGUUUGAAAACAAUCAAAAGCAUUGGUGGAAAUCUGCCGGUAAAGUCGUGUUGUGUGAGGUGCAGGGUAAGUGCUUACCCUAUACCUCCCGAGUUUGCCGCCGCUAAAAAAAAAUAUAUGGGCGGAUGCGCGCCGAAUUAUCGAGUCUAUUGGUGUAGUUUUGGGGUGUGUACGUGCGCUGAAGAGUCUGUUGUUGCGAAAAGAAAUCUCGUGAGCACAUUUUUGGCAAAACGCAUACAAAUAAAUCUUGCGGAAAAUAAAAGUUGGCCCACGAGCGCCGUUUGGCAGAAAUGCCCCACGCAGGUGCUCGCAGGAUCUAUGACAGGAGGGCUCCCAUGGCAGGUAUAGGGUAGAGGUAUAGGGUAAGUUAGUUGUUAAUAGGCGCGGUUCUCCCAGUCUAUUGUAGUAAAGACAGAUUCGCGCGAGGUGUAGGGUAAGCUGGCUGACUUGGUCGUUUUUGAGCCGCGAGGUACAGGGUAAGUGCUUACCCUGUACCUCGGAACGAAAACCGCCACCACACGCUCAGUACUGCGUUUCCGGCCGAGAAAACUUGCAGACGGGCCAAACAGAGCACGGGCUACCUGCUGGACACUUCAAAAGUAUUGCCUCAAACUGGUCUUGCCGUUCUGUUGUGUUGAGCUCCAGGGUAAGCACUUACCCGGUACCUCCCGACCUUGCCGCAGCAAAAAAAAAAAAUACGCAGGCAGAUGCGCGCCGAAUUAUCGAGCGCAAUGCGCGCAUUUGAUCGAAGUCUGCGAUCCGUAUGGCGUUGUUGUUGCGAAAACCAAUGUCGUGAGCACAUUUUUAGCAAAUGCCAUACAAAUGAAUUUUGCGGAAAAUAAAAGUUGGCCCACGAGUGUCGAGAGGCGGGGGCGCCCCGCCCAGGUGCUCGCAGGAUCUAUGAGAAGGCGGGCGGAAAAACCGGGUCGGGUCAACCAGCUUGGCGUGGGUGCAAUUCCUACGGCCGACCUUCUGUACGUACCAUAUUUGACAGACAAUCCCUAUGCAACUCUUCAGGCGGGCUUCGAAGCUAUCCUCGUCUGCCUGGGGCGCUGCAGUGGGCGUCGACUUUCACGAAACCGGUCGCUCAGGCUUCACGGCGUACUGGAAAUGCUUGGAGGCGGCACGGGCUCAGGCCUGUUGACGCUGAAGAAUGGGUUCUGUGGAUGGCUGGCCGCUGGCAAGUCUUGAAACAGAGCAACGGGAGGCAACCCACGCUCGAUGGACGCCGCAAUGGCCGAAGCCGGGCGCUGUGUCCUCCUCCUGGGGCCCCCAUACCACACCACCCUCAGCGGGUUCGGUGCGGUGGACGGAUGCCCUGGGGAACGGAGAGUGGGAAAGCGGAUUGCCGUGCACGGUGCCCGUGGCGUAAGCCGUGGGUGCUGCGUGCGGCGCGUCCCUCGUGGACGCCGCCCAGCAUAACUUGACUCUCCGGCGCUCUCGUGGCGCCGGCGGCCGCACGCCGGGCCACAG